This 424-nucleotide ribosomal RNA is filed under the name uncultured bacterium. Its description in RNAcentral is "bacterial SSU rRNA". It matches the Rfam family "Bacterial small subunit ribosomal RNA", at positions 354 to 796 of the family's 1533-position model. The record is from RNAcentral.
GUGGGGAAUAUUGCACAAUGGAGGAAACUCUGAUGCAGCGACGCCGCGUGAACGAUGAAGGCUUUCGAGUCGUAAAGUUCUGUCCUAGGGGACGAUAAUGACGGUACCCUAGGAGGAAGCCCCGGCUAACUACGUGCCAGCAGCCGCGGUAAUACGUAGGGGGCAAGCGUUGUCCGGAUUUAUUGGGCGUAAAGGGUUCGCAGGCGGCCUUUUAAGUCAGAUGUGAAAGCCCACGGCUCAACCGUGGUAAGCAUUUGAAACUGGAAGGCUUGAGUUAAGGAGAGGAAAGUGGAAUUCCUAGUGUAGCGGUGAAAUGCGUAGAUAUUAGGAGGAAUACCAGUGGCGAAGGCGACUUUCUGGACUUAUACUGACGCUGAGGAACGAAAGCGUGGGGAGCAAACAGGAUUAGAAACCCUAGUAGUCC